AGAAUGAACGUUGGCGGCGUGGAUUAGGCAUGCAAGUCGAACGCACCGCAAGGUGAGUGGCGCAAGGGUGAGUAAGGCGACGGUAACCAACCCCGAGACUGGGUAUAGCCGCGGGAAACUGCGGGUAAUCCCCAGCGAUGUCACGAGGAGGCAUCUCCUGGUGACCAAAGCUCCGGCGUCUUGGGACGGGCCGUCGUGGUAUUAGGUAGUUGGCGGGGUAACGGCCCACCAAGCCAAAGAUGCCUACCGGGCGUGCGAGCGUGGCCCGGCACACUGGGACUGAGACACUGCCCAGACUCCUACGGGAGGCUGCAGUCGAGAAUCUUCGGCAAUGGGCGCAAGCCUGACCGAGCGACGCCGCGUGGAGGACGAAGGCCUUCGGGUUGUAAACUCCUGUCGAGGGGGAAGAAGCCGCAAGGUUGACUGAUCCCUGGAGGAAGCACGGGCUAAGUUCGUGCCAGCAGCCGC
RNAcentral lists this ribosomal RNA (468 nucleotides) under uncultured bacterium. Its description in RNAcentral is "SSU rRNA". It matches the Rfam family "Bacterial small subunit ribosomal RNA", at positions 26 to 518 of the family's 1533-position model. The record is from RNAcentral.